RNAcentral lists this ribosomal RNA (533 nucleotides) under uncultured Basidiomycota. RNAcentral's name for it is "eukaryotic LSU rRNA". The stretch from base 168 to 322 matches the Rfam family "5.8S ribosomal RNA". The record is from RNAcentral. Lineage: Eukaryota; Fungi; Basidiomycota.
CAUUACUGAAGAUACUAGGGUUUUGAGACUGCGUCUAAAUUGGACGCGUGCUCGACUCUUACUCUUUAUCCACACACACCUCUGUGCACUAUGGGAUGCAAAAUCCCCUUUUCACAUUAAAACCGAGUUAUAUGCAUGUCUACUUUAUGCUCUACGGAGUAAUAUACAACUUUCAACAACGGAUCUCUUGGCUUUCGCAUCGAUGAAGAACGCAGCGAACGUGCGAAACGUAAUGUGAAUUGCAGAAUUCAGUGAAUCAUCGAAUCUUUGAACGCAUCUUGCGCUCCUUGGCAUUCCGAGGAGCAUGCCUGUUUGAGUGUUGUGAAAUACUCAAUUUCAAUCAUUUUGUUUGAAAUUGGAUAUGGACGUUGUUGUGGCACAACUCGUCCUAAAUGCAUUAGCGAUCUGGCCUCGAUCACGUACAGUGUGAUAAGAAAAAAAAAGCAUUGUCGGCUCGAGUCAAAAAGUCGCUUCUAACUGUCGACAAGACAAAUCAUUUAUGUCAUUUGACCUCAAAUCAGGUAGGACUACCC